AAGCCAUGUUGAGGACACUUCUUUAACAUAUUUUUGAAACGAUUCCAUGCCUCUUCAAAUGAUUCGAAUUCACAUUGGUUGAAUAUAGAGAUGUCGUGCCGCAGUUU
This 107-nucleotide small nucleolar RNA is filed under the name Olea europaea subsp. europaea. Its description in RNAcentral is "Plant small nucleolar RNA R71". It matches the Rfam family "Plant small nucleolar RNA R71". Rfam says of the family: R71 is a member of the C/D box family of snoRNAs containing the C (UGAUGA) and D (CUGA) box motifs. Multiple nearly identical copies of this snoRNA have been identified in Arabidopsis, and it is thought to function as a 2'-O-ribose methylation guide for 18S ribosomal RNA. Lineage: Eukaryota; Viridiplantae; Streptophyta; Magnoliopsida; Lamiales; Oleaceae. The record is from Rfam by way of RNAcentral.